This 452-nucleotide ribosomal RNA is filed under the name uncultured bacterium. RNAcentral describes it as "partial 16S ribosomal RNA". It matches the Rfam family "Bacterial small subunit ribosomal RNA", at positions 330 to 795 of the family's 1533-position model. The record is from RNAcentral.
GCCAGACUCCUACGGGAGGCAGCAGUGGGGAAUAUUGGGCAAUGGAGGAAACUCUGACCCAGCAAUGCCGCGUGAAUGAAGAAGGUCUUCGGAUUGUAAAGUUCUUUAGUCAGGGAAGAAGUCAAUGACGGUACCUGAAGAAUAAGCUCCGGCUAACUACGUGCCAGCAGCCGCGGUAAUACGUAGGGAGCAAGCGUUGUUCGGAAUGACUGGGCGUAAAGGGUGCGUAGGCGGUGUAGCAAGUUAGAAGUGAAAUACCUAGAGCUUAACUCAGGUGCUGCUUCUAAAACUGCUAUACUUGAGUGCAGUAGAGGAAAGUGGAAUUCCUAGUGUAGCGGUGGAAUGCGUAGAUAUUAGGAGGAACAUCAGUGGCGAAGGCGACUUUCUGGACUGUAACUGACGCUGAGGCACGAAAGUGUGGGGAGCAAACAGGAUUAGAUACCCCAGUAAUU